Molecule: ribosomal RNA, 253 nt
Filed under: uncultured bacterium
Lineage: Bacteria
Description: partial 16S ribosomal RNA
Rfam family: Bacterial small subunit ribosomal RNA
Source: RNAcentral
UACGGAAGGGGCUAGCGUUGUUCGGAAUUACUGGGCGUAAAGCGCACGUAGGCGGAUUAGUAAGUCAGGGGUGAAAUCCCGGGGCUCAACCUCGGAACUGCCUUUGAUACUGCUGAUCUCGAGUCCGGAAGAGGUGAGUGGAAUUCCUAGUGUAGAGGUGAAAUUCGUAGAUAUUAGGAAGAACAUCAGUGGCGAAGGCGGCUCACUGGUCCGGUACUGACGCUGAGGUGCGAAAGCGUGGGGAGCAAACAGG